Molecule: long non-coding RNA, 15715 nt
Organism: Hemicordylus capensis (graceful crag lizard)
Lineage: Eukaryota; Metazoa; Chordata; Lepidosauria; Squamata; Cordylidae
Exons: 5
Source: RefSeq, a predicted model, not a curated record
CUCGGCAUUGGAAGGCCCUGGCUGAAGAGCUUCCCACGCUCCCUCCCUCCCUCAGUGUUUUUAACAAACCACUUUUUAAGGAGGCUUUUUAAGGCCCCCUCUUGGGUUAUGUCUGGUAGCUUCUUUAGUUUUGAGUUGUUGUCAUUUCCGUUUUUUAGCUUUUCAAAGGACGUAGAGUUUGAACUUGAUAGUGAUUGUGGUUUUGAACCUGACGAUUGAUUUGUUUCCUCCGUUUGGUUAAUGUUCUUGUUUUUUCUCGUCCCUGAUAUCCUGGGCAGGACUAUGUAAAUUCUAAUCGAAAAAGCCUAUAGAGCCUGACGGGGAUAACCCCUCCCCAGUUCUUAUAGUCCUGCGUUUCUCCUGGCAGGCUGUUGCUCGUGCUCUCCUAAUCAGGCUUGUAGUUUUCUCUCCUGUCUCUCUCCUUAGUUCGGUUCCUCUAUAUGUAUCCCAAAACCCCUCUGUAUUCGGUUAGUCAACUCCUUUACUUCGUGUUACUCUUACCCGUCCUCCCCCCCUCCCCCUGUCCUUUCCAUCUGUGUAUGGAGCACGCAGAUAGAGUUUUCAACAGGCAGGGAAGGAGGCUAAACGUUCGCCCAUCCGCAUGCUUUCCAAAGCGCUCAAGGCUUCCCAGUGACCCUCCUCCUUUGGCAGUUUCGCUCACUCCAGCCAGCUCUCAGAUCCUCCCUGUCCUGGUCUCGGCGGACUGGUCUCCGUCCGAGCAGGCAGUCGGAGAGGCUCCGCAUUCGAUCGGACCCCUCUCGGACUGCGAGUUCGUGAGCACUACGGAGAGGACGAGGCAGCUUGAUCACCCAAGGCGCUUAACGCGCAGCUCGGCGGCAGAGUUUGAGAGAUUAACAGAGCAGCUUCGCUUGGGUGCAGAGUCCCUCCGUGUCACCGGCCGCGCCCCUCCUUGAGAGUCGGCCGUUUGCCUCCCCGAUCCUACCUCGGCGGCCGAAAAACCGUCCGAGUGGAUGGAGUGAGAGGGCCUCAGUUUGUUCCCGCCACUGAGCGGCGAAAAACGGGCCUUGCUAAGAAGGCAGCAUUCCGCUGCUUUACCUCAGCGCUUUACGUGCUGCGAAAAUCAGCUCUCCCAAGAUGGCGGAUGCAUUGAGCGAGCGGGAGAAAAGCCCGCCACAACUCAGACCUGGACACAACAGACGGUGGUGAGAUCUGAUCAAUGUAUGGGGGGUGCGGGGACCUCUGAGAAGAAUGUUUCUGUAGCUAUUCCUAAACAGGUCCCACCCGAGUGGCAAGCAUGGCUAAAGAGUGCCAUAGUAGAUACUGUAUACCAAUUAAAGCCACUAAAGCAGUUAGAAAAGCUAUUUCAGCGCUUUGUCCAGAACUUUCAGGGGAAUCAGCUUGAAGUGGCUGUGAAGAGCGCUUUUGGGAGGCUCCCUACUGCCAACGCCCCACCAACCUCUGAGGAGAUUAGGCCGAUUGGCGGGCUGGCUAGCAACCUGACCGGCAGGGCAACGAGGCCAUCACGGGCAUCUCCUGCCCCUCCUAAGAUGGCGACGGUUGCGAGGAAUCCCUCCAUUUUACCUCAAGGAGCUGGUAAUGUAAAAGGGAGACAGUCUCUAAAAGGGCAGGAAAAGCCUAAGACUGUGACUAUGGUGUUUGGCCAGCAGGGGGAGUCUGCUGCAGAGACUGGGUCUAAAGAAUCCUCCAGUUCUAACUCUGCUUUUUUACCUAAGUCUGUGCUGCCACCUGAGUAGCAGGCAUGGUUUUGCAAUGCAAUCAUUGACACCAUCUGCCAGGUUAGGCCCCCUAAGAGGAGUAAGAGAGCCACAAAGGGGAGAAGGCAUAGGUCACCCAGUGUGGGCAGUCCUUCUCCCAAGAAGGCCAAAAGCAAACUUCUCCAUAGUGAGCUGGGCAAGUUGGCUGGCAUUCCUCUGAUGCUGCCGAUCAGACUCUGGAGACCCUAGGGGUUUACUUGCACCUAAAUUAAAUAAAUAAAUAAAUAAAUAAAUAAAUAAAUAAAAUAAUUUAAAAUAAUAAUAAUUUUUUUAAAAAUAAAUAAAUUGCAAACUCAGAGGGGCCUAAUCUGCCUUCUGACCCUGAAGACCCAGUUAAUGCAGGGGGAGGUUUUCAUCCGGACCCAGUGGUUUGGAGGGGAGGACACAGGUGAUGCCUCGGUGUCACAGCGCCUCUUUGUGGCAAAGGACUUCAGCCCACUGAUGUCCAGAAUUGUUAUAACAAUGGGACUGAGGCUGGGCAGAGUUCUGACUCUUGCGCCCAAGGGGACUUGGUCUUUCCUAGAGCACGCCCCAAAGACAGGCUGAUGCCCAUGCCAGAGUUGUUUGUGGAUGUAGUCAAACAGGAAUGGUUGACACCAGUUUUCAACUACUAGGCUAUGUCCAUGGCUAACAAACUUUGUCUUUUCAGCAGACCACUACAGAUAUGUUGAGGACACCAAAUGCGGAUGCCCUGAUUUCGCAAGUGGUGUCGGAUUCCCUGGUAUCUCGAGAGGGUGAGUUUUCUCUAAAAGACAUAGCUGACAAGAAGGCUGAGCUGUCAUUUAAUCGUGUCAUGAGAACGUGUCCCUGGUGGUCCAUGCGACAGCGGCAGCAUCCAAGGCAGCCCAUGACUCCUUAAUAUAGGUGGUCAGUCUUAUUAUAGGUGGUCAAUCUUCUGAGUGAUUCUCCAGGGGAACCAGUUAAGAUGUGAUGGCAACUAUUAAAGAUCCAGAAGGCACAGGUCCUUAUGGCCGAUGCCACUCUUCAUACGAUGAGAUUCUCAGCGCAAGUGGUGGUUUCAUCAUUUGUUGGCACAUGCCACCUGUGACUCAAAGGUGGACAGUUGGUUCUACCGCUAGGCUUAACCUCGCUACCGUCUCUUACGACGGCAAGAAGCUUUUUGGUGAGUCUGCCCUACAAGACAUUCUUGUAGAAUCGUCUGAUAAGUGAAAGACGAUGCCUUCAACCAAUAAAAAGACUGAUAAACAGCCUUUCAAAAGGCCCUUCCAAUACAAUCGGCCCUUUUAUAGCUUCUGGCCCUUCAGGGGCCGGGACAGAGAUACAAAAUUCCAGAGGGAAUCGUCAGAGAGCACCCUUUAGAGGGUUUAGUACCUACAAACGGCAGGCUGUUCAGUCAAAAGCUACUACAAUGACUUGAAGCAGGGAGACCUGCUCUCUUUUUUCGACUUAAAAGAGGUGUACCUACAUAUGCCUAUCCAUCCAAAGAGCAGGCGGUUUCUACGUUUCAAGUCGAUUUACAGUGCAGGCUCUGCUGUUCGGCCUGGCAUCCGCACCCAGGGUCUUCACCACGGCCCUGGCACCAGUCAUGGCCCACCUGAGACUUUGAGGGGUCCACGUUUUUGCGUAUUCAGACAAUUUUCUCAUGACAUCAAGCUCUCCAGAAGCAGCAGCAGUCGACCUAGCAGUAACUCUAUCCACCCUGGAACAACAAGGGUUCCUCAUAAACAAAAAGAAAAGCUACCUGACGCCCACUCACAGGAUUCAACAUCUGAGAAUGGCCAUAAAUACCUUGCAAGGGCUCCUUUUUCUACCAAGGGUAAGAAUCCAUACACUCAUAUCAAAAGCACGUCUGGCCUUCCAGUUAUGGGAGGGCCCAGUACCCAGUAGGGCUAAUGGUCUCCAUGCUGGAGGCAGUUCCUUGGGCGAGGUUCCACCUCAGGGAGUUGCAGUGGUUCCUCCUGACGUUCCAAUCUUUCAUUUCCAGAAGAAAGAACAUGGUGGUCCAUAUGCCGUCCAGGGUCAGGUUAUCGCUUCGGGGGUGGAGUUCCCCACAGAACUUGUACAGAAGGAAGAGAUUCUUAAGGUUCCCGAGAACGAUUGUGACGACGGACACCAGCAACAGAGAUUGGGGAGCUCAUCGUCUCCAAUUCUCGGUCCAAGGGAAAGGAAGUCAGGAAGAAAAGAAACACUCAGUAAAUUGGCUGGAGCUGCGAGCCAUCAGCCUAGCACUCUUACAUCUCCGCUCUCAAGUGUCAGACCGGGAUGUCCUGAUAAGCCGGACAAUACAACAACAAAGGCCCACGUCAACAGGCAGGGCGCUACGAGGUCCAGGUCCCUGUAUCAGGAAUCGAUCCUUCUGAUGAGUUGGGCAGAAGGCCAUCUGAAAUCCAUCGCAGCCCAGCAUGUGAAAAGGGACCUCAACGCAGUUGCUGAUUGACUCAGCAGAGAGGAUCUACUCCCAGGAGAAUGGGCAUUGAACCUUCAAGUUUUCGAACAACUGACAUGCAGGUGGGAGUCCCCAGUGGUAAAUCUGUUUGCAACACCUCUCAACGCAAGCUAAACAGGUACAUCAUCAGGUUCCACUGCCGGUGGGCGGUGGGGACAGAUGCCCUCUCCUGACAAAUGUCCAAGGGGCGUACUGUAGGCCUUUCCUCCAAUACCACUUCUAACAUGAGUGUUAAGGAGAAUAAGAGAACAAAAGGCAGAGGGCAUCCUAGGGGCCCCCUACCGACCAAGAAGACCGUGGUUUGCCGAGCUGGUUUCUCUAACCACGGACAGGCUGUGGCAUCUACCAGUCGGGCAAGACCUGCUGCUCCAGGGACCAGUGCGUCACCCGAACCCAGCAUGUUUUCAGCUAGCUGCAUGGAGACUGAGCGGCGGUUGCUGAACGCACAGGGACUAACACAAAAGGUGGCUGCUACCAUCCUGGCCUCUCGGCGUCCUUCCACAAACAGGAUAUACCAGUAUACAUGGAGGGCAUUUCUCCGUUGGUCUUUCCAACAUCAGAUCCCAAGAGGUCAGUCCACGCUAAACCACUUUCUACAGUUUCUACAGGAUGGGGUUGAUAAGGGUCUAAGGCCAAACACACUCAGACAGGCAGGGCCUCUCUGAUCCCGCUACUGAUGGGGAAGGUGGCAAAGUUAUCGAUAUCACACCCUCUGAUAUGACGAUUCUUAAGAGGGGCGACUUUGCUGUCACCACUGGUGGCACACCGCUUCCCUACAUGGACUCUCAAUCUUGUACGGAAAGCGUUGCAAAGUACACCAUUUUAACCCAUCAGAUCGAUUUCUCUCAGAUUAUUAUGCAUGAAGCUGGCCCUCCUGGUGGCCGUGACGGCGGCAAGGCGGGUGUCUGAUUUAAGGUCACUGUCAGUGCAUGAAUCCUACUGCAUAAUUUCACAGGAUGCGGCUUGUCUGAUACCGGACCCAUUCAGCCGUCCAAAGGUCCUGUCGGAUUUCCUUAUGGCACAGGAUAUAUACCGUCCAUCAUUCUGCCCACAUCCGACACACCCUCAAGAAAAACUGUGGCAUAAACCUGAUGUACGGCGCUGCCUGAAACGAUACGUUGAACGCUCUGUGGAUUUUAGGAAGUCCCCUAUUCUUUUCAUAGUUACCAGCAUCUAUGGGAGAAGCAGUUUCUGCUAGAGCUUUCAAAAAAUGGAUCAGAGCUUGCAUUUCUCUGGCAUAUGAGACUCAAGAGGUGCACCUACCUGAACACAUACUAGCUGAUUCUACCAGAUCAAUGGCUACGUCAGCGGCUUUCACUACUUAUGCACCGGUUCAAGAAAUAUGUAAGGCGGCAGUCUGGAAGAACCCCUCUACUUUUAUUAAACACUAUAAGCUAGACUUAUAUGCCUCCACUCAGGCGGCCUUUGGGAGGUGGGUUCUUCAGGGAGUUUCUCCCCAAAAAUAGAGCAAAUCUGUGGGAUCCCUCCCGGAGACGUACUGCUUGGGUAUGUCCCAAUGAGAUGCCUCGAUAGCAGCAACCGAGAACGGAGCAUUGGUCACUUACCGUGAAGGCUUCUUCUGGUUGCUGCUGUCAAGGCAUCUCAGCCCACCCUAAGUUUCUGGGUAUUAUUACAUGUAUAUAGUUGAGACUUGCUCUACUCCAAGGGAAUGUUUUUGGGGAAGAUUGUAAGGAGACAUCUUGUCCUUUCAGACUCUUUCAGUCAUUUGGACCCUUUAUGUUGGCUCUGCUGUAUUCAGUUGUUCUAUUAUAUAUGGUUCUAUGUACUUUAACUGUUAACUCGGCCUAUAAGAACUGGGGAGGGGUUAUCCCCGUCAGGCUCUAUAGGUUUUUUCUAUUAGAAUUUACAUAGUCCUGCCCAGGAGCACGUGAGGAGGAUAACCCAAUGAGAUGCCUUGACAGCAGCAACCAGAAGAAGCCUUCACGGUAAGUGACCAAUGCUCCAUUCUUUCACAAUUAAGAAGUUGUAAAUGAGGAGCCAGCGUGGUGUAGUGCUUAGAGUGCAGGACUAGGACCGGGGAGACCCGAGUACAAAUCCCCAUUCAGCCAUGAUACUCUAAAUGAAGAGCCAGCGUGCUAUAGUGGUUAGAGUGCUGCACUAGGACCGGGGAGACCCAGGUUCAUAUCCCCAUUCAGCCAGGAUACUUGCUGGGUGACUCUGGGCCAGUCGCUUCUCUCUCAGCCUAAGCUACUUCACAGGGUUGUUGCGAGGAGAAACCUAAGUAUGUAGUACACCGCUCUGGGCUCCUUGGAGGAAGAGCGGCCUAUACAUGUCAUAAAGAACAAAAGAAAGGAAGAAUGUACACUUGACUUUCAGUGGACUGCAGAGUUUCUGCUUUUGGUUUUGCUUUUUAAAAGAGGCGACCACGCAAGAGUGAUUAGCCCCACUCAGCUAGAGAUGAAUGCAUGGAAUAUUAGAUGAGAGAUAUUGAGGUUGUACACGACCUCCUUUGCCGGGGCUGGAGGAGGCCAGGGGGACGGCGAGAUGGCUCCUGCUGUCCCCCCCCCGCCCGCCCACGAACGUUUCUCCUGCCCCACUGGCGCUCCCAGAGGUGUGCCCCACUCAGAGCACUCUGAGUCACACCUUCAAGACUCUACAGGGCUUGGGGCCGGGGAAGCUGUCGGAGAGCAUUUGCCCAUAUUAAUUUUCCAGGGCCCUCCCCGUUCUCAGGCCCUGCUCUGCUCGCUCAUGGCCCCGCUACUAACAGAGAUCCUCUUUGUGGGGACUAGGGACAGGGUCUUUUCGCUUGUUGCCCCUCGGCAUUGGAAGGCCCUGGCUGAAGAGCUUCCCACGCUCCCUCCCUCUCUCAGUGUUUUUAACAAACCACUUUUUAAGGAGGCUUUUUAAGGCCCCCUCUUGGGUUAUGUCUGGUAGCUUCUUUAGUUUUGAGUUGUUGUCAUUUCCGUUUUUUAGCUUUUCAAAGGACGUAGAGUUUCAACUUGAUAGUGAUUGUGGUUUUGAACCUGACGAUUGAUUUGUUUCCUCCGUUUGGUUAAUGUUCUUGUUUUUUCUCGUCCCUGAUACGUGCCGUAUUGCUGUGAGCUGGCCCGAGCAGUAGUGUACUGGAGGGGCGGGGUCUAAAUUUUUGAAAGAAGGAAUAAUCCCGAAAAGGUUGAAUGGGGAUUCGAACUCGGGUACCCCCGGUCUCUAUCCUCGCCACUCUAACACCUACGCUAUCCCAGCGCUCAGGAUUCCAAGGCUCAGAACAAUCCUAAGAACAUCGCAACAGCCCUGCUGGUUCAGGCCCAAUGAAGCCCAUCUAGUCCAGCAUCCUCUUUCACACAGUGGCCUUCCACAUGCCAAUGGAAGCCCACAGGCUGCAGUUGAGGGCACGGCAUCUCUCCUGCUCUUACUCCCCUGCAAAAAACUGGGACUCAGGGGCAUCCUGCCCUUCAGCCUGGUGGUGGCCUAUAGCCCGCCCUCCCACUAGCAGCCCUUGAGAAUCCUCUCCUCCAUCAAGUGAUGCAUGCCCCUCUUGAAGAGAUGCUUCAAUAGAAGGUCCACAGGAGGUGGGGGGCAUCUUGGGGCCCUCUUGGUGCCUCCAAAAUCUGCUGCCUUAUGCUACCGCCCCAUCUGGCUUCACGUCAAGGGCUCCUCCCAGACACAGCUGCCGCGUCGACAAAGGCUUUUCUCCUCAGACAAGCCCUCCAGAGCUACCUCAGAAGGCCAACUGCCAAAACCCAAACAAUUCUCUCCCCUCCCCUCCUCAAGAUUCUCUUUGUAUCAGGGACCCUGCUUCCCACUGGACGCUAUUCAUGACACUCAAGCAGGAGCUGGGUCUUGUGGCAGCAAGCAUGACUUGUCUCCUUAGCGAAGCAGGGCCCACCCUGGUUGCAUAUGAACGGGAGACUUGAUGUGUGAGCACUGUUAGCUAUUUUCCUCAGGGGAUGGAGGAGCAGAAGGUUGCAAGUGCUCUGCCGCUCCCUGCCUUCUCCAAGAGAGAUUCCUGCCUGCAAUCCUGGAGAAGCCACUGCCACUCUGAGAAGACAAUACUCAGCUAGAUAGACCAAUGGUCUGACUUGGUAUAUGGCAGCUUCAUGUGUUGCUAUGUUCCUAUUCUUGCCAAGAAUUCUGGACGAGUGGACCUUGAUCUGAUACAGAUCGGUACUUCUGAGCCUUCUGAUCAUUUAAGGGAGAUCUGUCAUUCUUUCACAAUUAAGACGUUGUAAAUUAUGAGCCAGCGUGGUGACCGUGGUGUAGUGCUUAGAAUGCAGGACUAGGACCGGGGAGACCCGAGUUCAAAUCCCCAUUCAGCCAUGAUACUCUAAAUGAAGAGCCAGCGUGCUAUAGUGGUUAGAGUGCUGCACUAGGACCGGGGAGACCCGGGUUCAUAUCCCCAUUCAGCCAGGAUACUUGCUGGGUGACUCUGGGCCAGUCGCUUCUCUCUCAGCCUAAGCUACUUCACAGGGUUGUUGCGAGGAGAAACCUAAGUAUGUAGUACACCGCUCUGGGCUCCUUGGAGGAAGAGCGGCCUAUACAUGUCAUAAAGAACAAAAGAAAGGAAGAAUGUACACUUGACUUUCAGUGGACUGCAGAGUUUCUGCUUUUGGUUUUGCUUUUUAAAAGAGGUGACCACGCAAGAGUGAUUAGCCCCACUCAACUAUAGAUGAAUGCAUGGAAUAUUAGAUGAAAGAUAUUGAGGUUGUACACGACCUCCUUGACCGGUGCUGGGGGAGGCCAGAUACUACCAACGGCCAGGCAGAUUUGACAUGGACUCUCCGAAUCGUGGGUCUGGAUUCCUCUUCUGAAAGUCCAAGUGAAGAAGACUGAUGGUUUGAUGGAUGGUUUGCUUUUUACUGAAAACCAGUGUUAAGAUACAUAGUCUACCAGGCUGGGUGAGCUUAGCUUUCCUUCACUCCUUCUCAGUUCCUUGGGGUGGUCACUAGUCUGCUCCUCUGCCUUCUGCCAUUACAUCACCUCCCAUCAUCACAUUCCACUUCCAACAUUCUUCUGGCCCCUACCCCACCACCUGCAGGUGGCCAUAGGGACUACCAUAAACAAUUUCACACCACCACACUUCAGUUGUCCACUUCCUAAGCGACGCUCCAGAGGUUAAGGAUUGUCGACACGUGUCUGCUCUCACCGGAGAGAUUAUCUUGUUGUCUUCUUUUUGUCCUGUGGUCUUUUGAAGACAUUUACUGUCAUCAUGGCAGGUAGGAAAUGGUGCCACCCAGGAGGAGUCAGGGGCAAUUCAUUGGGGUGGAUUGUGUCCAGGGGCCCCUCUUGGGCCACAUUUUCCUUGCUUUCAUUUCUACCACACCUCUCCUUUCCAAUUUGUUCUACCUUCUGCCCAAAGAGGUUAUCUGUUUCCCGAAUAUUUUUAUUUAGUUCAUUCUUGCCUGGAAUCAUCAUGGCCCCUUACAAAGUGGCACAAGCAAGAGACAGUUCCCUUCCCUGAGGAAAUUACAAUUACAAUUCACAACAGGAGGGAAGAGGGAGGCAAACGUCACAGAGUGGGAGUGUGCAGAAAGGCCUAUUUGAAGUACUUCUUUUCAGUUCAGAAAGAGGAGGGGAGUGCCCUUUAACUUUAACAGGUAGAGGGCUUUCUCUGGGUCUGGAGAUGGCCGACAUUUGGAGGAGAGAGCAACUGGCAUCCCCCAGGGGAGUGUUCUACAGAGGGACACACAUUCGGCAAGACUUUUACUAUCAAGGCUAUAAGCGGUUGGUAGUUUUUCUGCAAUCAUCCAUUCAGGAUAAAGUGUGGGGAAAGGAAGAUGGAAAUGAUUCAGCAUCAUUUUUGAAUGGAUUCUCUGAGGCGAUUCUCACGAUCGGCCAAAAGCGGGCUAAGGGAGCCUAGCCCGCUUUUUGGCGAGCGUGAGAACCACCAGGCGAGCCCAGUGUCCUCAAAGCAGGUAACUCGCUUAGGUUGCCCUCCCCUUAGACGAGGUUAGCAGAGCGAAUCCUCCGCUAACCCAGUCUAUUUGAUCGUGUAUUGCUACGGUGUGGCUCCGCACCACAGCAACACAUGAGGAGAACCCCGCUGGGAGGCUGAAACAAGCCUCCCGGCCCUGGGGGUCUCUGCAGGAUGCCCCCCGCACUUGCCCUGGGAGCUACCUACCACCCAACCCACAAAAGAAAUGGGCAAGUGGGAGAUUAACCACCCCCACCCCCACACAGACACAAACGGAUCCUAUGGGUUGUUGUGUUUUGAAAGUUUAAAAAAAUAUUAAUUACCUUUCCCCCUGUUUUUUUGUAGGUUGGAUGGUAGGUAGGACCCAUCAUGCCCUACCACCCAACCCAUGUUGGUGUCCCUUGGACCUAUCCAUGGGAAACAGUGGGUUGAUUCAACUUCCCCCUUGUUCCCUAUGGGAGAAUCAAGAUUCUUUUGGUGACUUUCCCAAUUGAUUCACUGAAACUGCCGGCAUUGCCCAGUGGGGUUAGAUGAAUGGCUGGCUGGUUAAAUGAAAAUUUUGAAUUGAUUUAUUGUGAUCUGAUCACAGGUAACACCGAAUUGCAAACACUGAUUUGUGCACACCUCUAGAACACAACACCAGGAAGCCCUUGUCUUGUCUGGCCACAAGCAGUGGGUCUAAGAUCAAGGGCUGGGUAGUUUGAGGCCAGGCCCCCUGAUUUGAGGAGGGGGAUGCGUCAAAGACUUCCAAGGUCAAACCCAACUCAGAGUCUAUGAGAUGCAGCAGCAGCAACUCUGAAAGGCCUUCAGGAAGGAAAGGCUGAGGGUGGGAGGAGUGUGCCAGUUCUCCACUUCAGGGUUCUUGGGCUUCCUCACCUGAAAAGUGUUCCAGUACUCAGAGCACCCCGGCAGAGAGGCGGGUGUCGCAUCUGACGGUGCCUCCUUGAAAGGGACUGAAGCUAUAGGUUCAGCCGUAGGCCUGGGGCCAGGUGCUUCUUUGCUCAGUCUCAGGCCCAUCUCUUUCCCGCCCUUGCAGGGCUGUUGUAGGGAUUACUGAAAUUGGGUGCCCCUUUCCUUUUUCUUGCAGACGAGUCCACCCAGAAGCGGCCAUCUGCUGGCUCAGCCUCUACGACCGCGAGCUCUGCAGGGGAAGGAGGAGGAGGUUUGCCAAGCAGCUUCUGCGACACACCAAGGGCUGCGCCCAGGGUGGGUGCCUCGUGUUGCUCUGAACCUGCAAGCCAUACACACCAUUUCAACAGGGAGUAGGACUGCUCUGAGCCUUGCCUGGCAGAGCCCAAGGCUGAAAGAUUUCCUCGUCAAUGCAGAGGGGCCUGAACUUGAAUACUUGUGUCGCAUGCCUCCUAGAAGAUUUUCUCUUUUUUCCUGCCUGGCACUGAAGUGAUAUGCCAUUGCUGUAUCCCCUGCAUUGCAAGGGAGAUUGCACCAUAUUAAUAGAAGAUGUAUUGUUCUACUUGUGUCCCUGCAGAAAGAAAGAUCAAUAUUUUACUGAUCACUCCAGAAUGGGGACCCAGAAGACUUAAAGGAGCUGCCGGUUUAAACCACUGGUCUAUCUAGCCCAGUGGGGCUUACUCUGACCAACAGAAGACGAAGUCCUUUUCAGUUGUGUGGGAGUGGCACCGAUGCCAAGGCUGGGGAAAAGCAAUGAACUGAAGAGAGGUGAUGAAGCAGGAAGUGGAUCACCCAGUUGCCACAGCAACAAAAGCAUGACCUCACCCAUUGCAGGAGAUAUCAGGGGAAUACUGGGCUUGUUGCCAGGUAACAGGGAUGUGUUCCCUUGCAAUUCCUCAUGAGGGACUAGGGAAGGAAAUACUGCAUGAAGUGGGUUUUGGCUAGGAGGCAGCAUUUAAGGGCUAGAGUCAGCUGGUCCAAAGGGGAUUCCUCCAGAGCUCGGCUCGGUGCUUGGAAGCUGAGCCAGGGGAGAAGAAAGGAAGGAAAAUGGGUGCUACCUAGCCUAAGGCCUUAGCCAGAGCCUUGUACCAAGAACACUGAACUCCCUGCCAAGGCCUUCUUGGCCUCCCCUUUAGAAGCAGAGAUGCUUGAGACGGAAAAACCUGCAUGCAAAGCAAGCAGUCUUUCCACUGAGGGCCAAAUAUAAUACGUGCAUCAAUCAUUUGGCCUGGCAUGUUUGGGUUUGUUUUGUUUUUAACUAAGCAGCAGCUGCAUGCGGGCAGGGCAUGUAAGACCAGGACCGUGGUGCACAAGAUCCUCUCCCUCCACAGUGUGGUCCUGACCAAAAUCAUGCCCUUCAAGCUGAAGGGAAAGCUUCCACUGGCACCCACAGAAGUUUCCUUCCCAGAGUGAAUAAGAGCUUCAGGGGCACGAUUUUCAUCAGGACCCGAUUAAGGUGGGAAAGGGUUAAAUACUCCCUUUCUGUGCCGUCCCAUUCCGGUUGCAUUACCCCGCCCACCACCACCAAAUUGCAACUGCUAUUUAGCUUUUUUAAAAAGGCAGACAUACAAACAUUUAGCAUGUAUUGUGAAGCCUGGGCAGUAAUAAUCCCAUGCAGCCUCCAAAACCUUGGAAAUGGAUGAAUGGUCUCAAUUUCACAGUAUCUCCUAAACAGGCCUGUUAGUGAGGAGAUCACAUGAGACCAGGCAGUUGGGUGCUGUGCAUAACCAGCUUCCAAGCACUAGCACUGCUGCCCAGUUGCUUCACCACACCAGUUGGUUCAUGGUGGCCAGGCCACUGGUGGAGAGCACGUUCUGUGGGUGCUCUGUAAAAGUGCUUCUUUCCUCCCAUUCCUCUCUGGAAUUGGAUAGUGAGUGGCAGAGGCACUCAACCCAAAGGUGAGUGGGGAGCACGGAUCCAGAGUGCUAUCUGUGCCAGAGGAGGACUGGUUGUACCUGUAUCAUUCUAGAACUGACCUGGGAAAGGAAGCAUAGCACAUAAUGCGCAGAAGGCAUUUAUGCUGGACCAAUAUUGUCAGAUCAGUUACACACUGGAAGGUAGUCACAAAACAACUGCAAUAAUGUUUUUUCAGGAAGCAUCACAACUUCUCUAGAAGAUCCUGCUCAUAUCUUUCUGUAUGCGCAACCAGCUUUAAAUGCUCAUAGCACCCAGAUUCUCCUGACCCCUCAGCCCCCAGCUUCAGAUUGAUUCUUAAAUUCAAGAAUCUUUAGUAGAUGCACAAUUUCAUCCAGUAAAUGUAUUUAAAGUGGCUUUGGGGUUCAAUGCUUUUAAAACGUUAUCCUGUUCUGUCAUGGUAUGUGGCUGUUGGCCUUUUCUUUCACACCUGGUAAAUGUGACAAUCAGAGACUCCUACCAGCAUUUCCUUGGACCUUUUAUUUACCCAAUGGAGUAAAUGUCUCUCUAGCUCUACCUGAGGUUCACUCUCCUCUCUGCACUCUUACUGGAGUUUUAUUUUGCUCUCAAAACAAAACCACCCGUGGGAACAAAAGCUUAGCAAUCAAAGUGCCAUUUGCAUCCAGUAUUCCAGAAAAGAGUAAGUAAGAAUCCCUACUCCCCCACCCUCAGAUCAAUGACCCACCUGCCUUCUAAGCUGAAGAAAGGAAAGGUCUGCCCAAAUGAACGCAAUGCUGAGCAGGAAGAGAAGAGAAGAAUCCUACACUAAGCACCUUGGUUAACUGAAAGCAUUUGCCAACACCUGUUGAAUGGAGUUAGCUGAUGGCUUUCAUUUUCAGGGGCAUCUUUAAGAACACACAAGCAGAAUCCUGCUGGAUAAGAUCAAAGGUACACCUAGUCCAGUAUCUUGUAUACCUCCCAGUGACCAGCCAGAUGCUGGCUUAUUUUCCAGAGCUGGCUUAUUCCAGAGCCAUCACAAUCUUACAGAACGGGGAUGGAUGGCGGUGGUACACAAGUUGGACUUGGCCCCGGAAGCAGUUUUAUCUGCUUCCCCUCAAAUACUUGUCCUACCAAAUUUUGAUCAAGGUAUGGAGCCAAAAAAAAAAGCUCACUUGUAAGGAGACAGAAGCAAGAAGGCUUUGCAGGAAGCCCUUACUGCUAGGCCAACUUUAUAAUAAAGCUGCUAGAGCCCAAUUAUGUGUGAGGAGGGACCAGAGACUUCCAGGUCCCAGAGCAGUGUCUGGAAAAUUGAGCAACCUUCUAGAAUACAAAAGUUGUCCAUCCCUGACACAGAACACAACUGACAUCUCUUAAAUUCUACAGUUCCAUAGAACUUCCAUAGGACAAUACACCACAGCCUCCUCCCUCUCUCUGAGGGUAAAAUAAUAUACCGUCCUGGUGCUAGCAAUACACCCGUUUAUUAGAAUAAAUCUAUACAUGUGUGCAUGUUUAUGCUCACACACACAUAUCUAUAUAUACGCUCUACACAUUCCAUUCCCAGAACAUAAAUAAGCAUUUCGGAGAAUGGCAAGUUACAUACAUUUAGCAGCAAUGGCCCUGAUACCCCUUUACCAUCAUCCCCAUCAUCCCAGAGACUUGGGUUCAUUCAGACCUCAUUUCACCGCAUGUGGCCACCACUGCCCAGGGUGUCUCCGCCCUGUCUUCCUCUCAGCACACCUUCUCCUUCAGUUUUGUCAUAAGGAAAGCAAACUUAAAAACCCACGUUGUGACCUCCACUCCUGAAGAAGAAGCUCUGGGUCAGGACCUCCAUCCUAUCCCUCCAACUGGAUGAGUCACAGGAGGGAUCGCCAAAGAAGGCACACCUCACAGAAUUAACCACACACACACACACCCAAACUACCAACUGGGUUUUUUCUCCUCUUUGUUUUUGCCUAGGAUCUAGGGACAAAGUGAUAAAAACAAAACUCAAGUUCAGGUUGUAUCCUGCUAUGUUUCUUUUGUGACUUCUGGCUCUCCUUGGGCACACACUCUUGGCUUUGGCCGACUGGGAGGGGAGGAGCCCCCCGUGACUUGAGAGGAGGGCUGCUGUUGCCAGGCUUCACUCCUGCUUCAGAAGCAGGUGCAUCUUUGCUGGGUCCAAGGCUGCAGGAGCUAAUCAAAGGAUUCUGUGCAAUUGAGAAAAAGGGGGGCGGAAACAGAAUCCGUGGGUUGGACUUCUUUUUUCUUUUCCCUUUUGCACAAAGGCUCGGUUUCUGGCUGCUGCAUUUGAUUUCUGUCUCGCUUCAUUUCCAAAUGUGGCAAACAGCAUGCGUCAGAGGAGAGGGGGAGGGGAGGCAGCCUCUAGCACUUGUCAUCUUCUUCCGUAUCACUUAGUACGUCGAUGCCAGCCCCACACAUCACCCCUUGCGAUGCCCCUCCUCUCCUCCUCCUGCGGUAGUGCCCGUUGGGCAUCUGCCAGCUGUGCCUCGAACGAGGGCCGACUGCAAUCGUGUUGGAGCGGCCAAGGCUGGUGGCCACGGCAGCUUCAAAGCUUCCCACUUACCUGUCUGUUGGGGGUUUGUGAUCUGCCUUCACUGGGGGACCUGGACUGACGUCGCUCCGGAGAGUCACCAUCUGCUGGCGGACUCCUUUCCUCUGAGUUGCAACGGGAGAUGUCUGGAGAGAGCAAGUGCUUGCGUUCCUUGGAGCGGCCUCGCUCUCUGCCUCCCGACCGAUGGGUGUCAGAUCGGUGGCCUGUGUAAGACAAAGCACAGGGUUUCAAGACAAGUCCAUGACUGUCAAUAAUUUGUAUUCAGUCCUCAAAGCAGUUUGUAAUACAUGUAGAAUGUUUUUAUCCUUCUGUAGUGUUGAAGUUAGAAACUUCUUUUCUGUGCCUACUACUCUGCCAACAAGAUCAAAACCUCCCACAUUCUCACA